GCCCCGAUCGUCUAGCUCGGCCAAGGAUAAAGCCCUUUCGAGGCUUUGACGCGAGUUCGAAUCUCGCUCGGGGCA
This 75-nucleotide transfer RNA is filed under the name Candidatus Woesearchaeota archaeon. Its description in RNAcentral is "tRNA-Glu". It matches the Rfam family "tRNA". Rfam says of the family: Transfer RNA (tRNA) molecules are approximately 80 nucleotides in length. The record is from RNAcentral. Lineage: Archaea; Nanobdellati; Candidatus Woesearchaeota.